ACCAGGAAGAAAGGAUCAAAGAGAGACAAUGUUUUCUCUUAUACACAUUGUUUGCACAUUGCUCGUUAACACCUCCAGGACAGAGCGUCACCAUGAAAUUCUCUAUUGAGCAGUAAAGAGAGACAGAGAGAGAGAGAGAGAAGAAAAAAGAAACAACAGCCUGGAAGUAGCUUUUGUCUUUCACCACUAUUCACUAUUGAGAUGUUUUAAUAGCUAUAAAAGGAGAGAGGGAUUGUCAUGCUGCCAUGAAAUGGAUAUAAACAAUUUUCAGCUGAGACUCUGACCAAAAAUAGAAAAGUGGUUUCUAAACAACAAAGAAAUGGGGGUAAUAUAACAUUCCAAAGAAAGUAUCCUUAAAGAGCCUGUGGAGCAUCUGAAAAAUAUCGAUCCUAGAAAGCAAAUGAAACAGCAUAUUGAUCUUGGAAGAAAAAAAAGGUGGUGAGAACCAUGAAAACAGCCGGAGAAAAGUCUUAGCAAUAAAGAAGAGCACACCUUACUGACAGACUUGAAGGAAGACUGAAAAUGUGAAGGUACAGGAAAAUUUUAAGGUGAAAUAGAAAGAUAAUCUUAAAAGUAUAAGUCAAGGUCAUUAGUGAAUAAUAAUGCAUGUGGGUUUUAAGAAAAACACUUCAGUGGGGGAAAGUGAUAAACAACAGAUUUUAGUUCCAGCUAAGCCUCCAAAUAGAGUGAAUUUCAGAAAUCACUAAAUCCCAGGCACUCAUCUUUUAUACGUGUAAAAAAGAGCAGUGAUAGCAACAUUCCAGUCACAGGAUUGUUAAAAUGACCCAUUGGGGAAUUUGUGAAGCAUGUCUUUGAAUUCUUUUCCCAAAGGGAUUCUGUCUUAGGCAAUAUUAGGUUUGGCAACCAUUAAACCAAACAAUUGCUAAGGUACAAAUAGCCAGCAUACUUCCUAAAAUAUGCUGUAUAAGAAAAUUAGAGAAUCAUGGAAAAUCCCAA
Molecule: long non-coding RNA, 957 nt
Organism: Gorilla gorilla gorilla (western lowland gorilla)
Lineage: Eukaryota; Metazoa; Chordata; Mammalia; Primates; Hominidae
Exons: 3
Source: RefSeq, a predicted model, not a curated record